Molecule: ribosomal RNA, 779 nt
Filed under: uncultured marine bacterium
Lineage: Bacteria
Description: bacterial SSU rRNA
Rfam family: Bacterial small subunit ribosomal RNA
Source: RNAcentral
AGUCGAGCGCUAACUCUGCUUCGGUAGAGUGAGAGCGGCGAAAGGGUGAGUAAUGUAUAGAAAACCUACCUUCGAGAGGGGGACAACAGUUCGAAAGGGCUGCUAAUACCGCAUAAGAUUGUAGUUACGCAUGUAACAGCAAUAAAAGCAGGGGAUCUUCGGACCUUGUGCUUGAAGAGGGUUCUAUAUCCUAUUAGCUAGUUGGUGGGGUAAUGGCCUACCAAGGCGACGAUGGGUAGCCGGCCUGAGAGGGUGAGCGGCCACACGGGCACUGAGACACGGGCCCGACUCCUACGGGAGGCAGCAGGAAGGAAUAUUGGGCAAUGGGCGCAAGCCUGACCCAGCGACACCGCGUGGAGGACUGAAGGCUUUCGGGUUGUAAACUCCUAACACGUAUUAAGAAGGCCACGAAGAGUAAUACGCUUUGUGGAUUGACGAAGGUACGAGAUGAAGUCAUGGCUAACUCUGUGCCAGCAGCCGCGGUAAUACAGAGAUGGCAACCGUUGUUCGGAAUCACUGGGCUUAAAGCGCACGUAGGCGGAUAGAUAAGUUGAUUGUGAAAUCCCAUAGCUUACCUAUGGAACGGCAGUCAAAACUGUUUGUCUUGAGUGCUGAGGGGAGAGUGGAACUCCUAGUGGAGCGGUGAAAUGCGUUGAUAUUAGGAGGAACGCCGGAGGCGAAAGCGACUCUCUGGCCAGCAACUGACGCUGAGGUGCGAAAGCUAGGGGAGCAAACGGGAUUAGAUACCCCGGUAGUCCUAGCCGUAAACGAUGGGCACU